RNAcentral lists this ribosomal RNA (274 nucleotides) under uncultured bacterium. Its description in RNAcentral is "partial 16S ribosomal RNA". It matches the Rfam family "Bacterial small subunit ribosomal RNA", at positions 523 to 796 of the family's 1533-position model. The record is from RNAcentral.
AUACGGAGGGGACAAGCGUUAUUCGGAAUCACUGGGCGUAAAGGACGCGUAGGCGGGUUUGUAAGUCAGGUGUGAAAUCCUACAGCUCAACUGUAGAACUGCACUUGAAACUACAGACCUAGAGUAUGGAAGGGGCAGAUGGAAUUAGUGGUGUAGGGGUAAAAUCCGUAGAUAUCACUAGGAAUACCGAAAGCGAAGGCGAUCUGCUGGGACAUUACUGACGCUGAGGCGUGAAAGCGUGGGGAGCAAACAGGAUUAGAUACCCCGGUAGUCC